Molecule: long non-coding RNA, 755 nt
Organism: Trachemys scripta elegans
Lineage: Eukaryota; Metazoa; Chordata; Testudines; Emydidae
Exons: 2
Source: RefSeq, a predicted model, not a curated record
GCACGACCUGAUCCCUGAGGAAGAAGGGGUUAAUCUCAGCCUCCCCUUCGCCUUGCACAGAGGCGGGCGAUCUACUGACUGCUUGUGAGACAGAGGUUGGCCGUUAUCAGUGGGGAAGAAGAAUACUACCCCGCUGGUACUCCAACCAGAGGAGUCUGGGGUUGUGUGAACUGGGCUUGGCUUCCACUUAGAACUAGCCCCCCUUGGGGAAAACCUUCUGCGAUGGCACCUGGGGUUUGUGCCUCUUGAAGCAACGGAGGAGACCAGCUAGGUAUGUGCUUAGGACUCUGUGCAGCCAUUAAAGUUCUACAUCAAAAACUUAAAUUGUCCCUAAAAACCAGGAUAAAAUGGGGGAAGGAGACGGAGAGACAGACUCGAAGUUUGAUGCACGCACCUUUUCGGAGAUACUCUUUCAGCUGACUGAGUUCACCCUGAGCAGCCAACUGGUGGACGGACAAAGCUGGUGUUGGAAAAGAAACAAAACGUUAGAAUUACAUCUUUUCGUAUUUGCUGUCUGGAGAUACAGGAUUCUGGGACGGUCACCAUGAAGCCUAGAACGGCCGAGUCAGCGUGAAGCGAGGGAGCAGCUACAAGCGUCGCUGAUGACUCUGUGUUUGGAAUAUCGCCAGGGUCAAUCGUCCGUGGGGCUCGCGGUUUGUUACCACCCAGGAAGGUCUCAGCCAUUCUGACUUUACAGAUGACACCGGGGGACAGCCCGGACGUUCAGCCACAGUAAAGCGUGUAUCUAUGCCAAA